CCUACGGGAGGCAGCAGUGGGGGAUAUUGCACAAUGGGGGAAACCCUGAUGCAGCGACGCCGCGUGGGUGAAGAAGCGUUUCGGCGCGUAAAGCCCUAUCGGCAGGGAAGAUGAUGACGGUACCUGACCAAGAAGCCCCGGCUAACUACGUGCCAGCAGCCGCGGUAAUACGUAGGGGGCAAGCGUUAUCCGGCUUUACUGGGUGUAAAGGGGGCGCAGACGGCAAGGCAAGCCAGGAGUGAAAGGCCGGGGCUCAACCCCGGGACUGCUUUGGGAACUGCAUGGCUGGAGUACAGGAGGGGUAGGUGGAAUUCCAGGUGUAGGAGUGAAAUCCGUAGAUAGCUGGAGGAACAUCAGUGGCGAAGGCGACUAACUGGCACAUAACUGACGCUGAGGAGCGAAAGCGUGGGGAGCAAACAGGAUUAGAUACCCGGGUAGUC
This 440-nucleotide ribosomal RNA is filed under the name uncultured bacterium. RNAcentral describes it as "partial 16S ribosomal RNA". It matches the Rfam family "Bacterial small subunit ribosomal RNA", at positions 338 to 795 of the family's 1533-position model. The record is from RNAcentral.